GGGUUUUGUUUCCAGUUAAGGAAUAAGCGGUGGGUGGUAGUGUCAGUUAGGGAACCAUGCCACCAUUCCGAGACAUGCUACAAGACUGGCAGAAAGUGCAGGAAAAGGCAUGCACUUCUUCGUUCCAAUAAAGGUAAAAAUAUCGGUUUGCUGCAAAUGGUAAUUUCAACAGAGGGCGAGAAUGGCGAUGGCAUGCUUUUGUGUGAGGUGCAGAGAAGUGCCACAGUCGAGAAAUCAGAGAAGAAUAUAUCACAGAACUAUGCAUAUGAGGUACAUCUCUGAAAACAGGAUAGACAAUUAUUCCUGGGAGUUUUACGACUGCUUUGUUGACUCCUGUGUACCCUUCGACUGUUUAUUUGAUUUAGGAGUCAGAAGGCUCCAAGUCAAACCAUAGUAUUGUUAGGAUCAGUUUGAACAUACACAUAACAAGAGGUCUAAGUAGUGCAUGUAUUCCAGUAGCAUGUUUAUUCAGAUUCUACAGAGAAAACCAGAGAUCCAAGUUUAUACA
Lolium perenne is the source of this 508-nucleotide long non-coding RNA. RefSeq lists it as uncharacterized. Lineage: Eukaryota; Viridiplantae; Streptophyta; Magnoliopsida; Poales; Poaceae. The record is from RefSeq and is a predicted model, not a curated record.